GUGGAAAUAUAUUACAUCGCUGAUGAAUUCUGGAAUACAUACAUUGUACUCGACAGAAAAAUAAUAAACAGGUCUAGAACAGACUAAAUACUGCUAGAACUACUGUUAUACAACUAAGUUGCUGAUAAGCUGAACUAGUACUGGAUUACUAGUGUAGAGAUCAAGCAAAUAGCAAAUAAACAAACAGCCACGGUACUGUUGGUGCCAUGAUUCCCUGCCGAUGCACAUGGCCUUGUAAAGGCGGUCAUACUAGUCAAUCUAAAGGAUAAGGAGAGAGACCAGGGAAAGAAAUCCCAUGCAACUCAUCCCCAAUCCUCGCGAAGACACAACCAGGCGGAGAACACCAGGUCGGCCGGCCGCAUCAUCGGCGGCGAGCAAAACUCCCGCCGCGCUCGUCCUCACAUGAAGAACCACCGGGGAGAUGGGAGCCCGAGCGCCGCGGGCUCCGCGUGCCGGAGUGGCCGUUCGACGGCAAGCACGCCAGUGGGACGCCGAGGGCCAAGAGGCGGCGGCGAACUUCCACGCGCGGCAAGGGCGGGUGGGUGGCCGGAGUCGGGGACAGCAGGCACAGCGGCGUGGCAGCGUCGCCCGGGACGCGCGCAACCGUCGGCAACCUCUGAAGCGGUGCGUCGCCGACAGCCUCAACAACCGCUGGAGUCUGAUGCUGCAGCGGCGCGGCCCCGACGGUUCCAACCUCCUGAGGCGCUGCUACCACCAGGUCAAACUACCCAUCCAUGCGCUGAGCACCAAAACGGCGGCGGCGGAGCCACCAGUGCCGGAUCGAUGCCCCCAUCGGCCUCGAGCCUUGGUGCAGCCGGACCGGCGAAAAGCCGGGCGGGCACAUCGGGCUGCACGGGCUGGUUCGAGGGCCCCGCGCCGUGCCGGUGGUUGCGACGGAGGUUCUGACGGCGCUGGUUCCAACCUCCACGCCGGAAGCGGCGGAGGUCGCGCACAUGACGCUGGAAGUGGCGGUGUCGGCCAACACCAUGGCGGCGGUGGCGAGCGACGAAGCGGUGGCCACGGCCAUUGACGCGAAGGAGGCGAAGAAACAGGGACAUUGGAACUCGAGGCAUGGUUCCAUUUCUCACCUUUUCUCUGUUUUUCUUGUCUUCUCGUCGGAAUCGCUCUCGCCGGAGAGCAUGCCGAUAACCUGUUGGAACUAAUCGAGAGGCAAAUCGAGAGACAACAAUGAAUCAAACUAUACUUUAUUGAUGAUGAUUGUACACUUAUAUACAUAGGGAACAGACGUUUUGGAGGGAUGCGACCGCUCGUAGAGGCGCCGUUUCAGGAACUGCCGUGACACUUCGCUGGAGUCCUGGUACCGUACGCGAUGUGUAGGAAGCGGGGAUUAUCCCGUAAUAACCGCCAGGGUUAUUUAUUUUUAACACUUUCGAC
Molecule: ribosomal RNA, 1395 nt
Filed under: Triticum aestivum (bread wheat)
Lineage: Eukaryota; Viridiplantae; Streptophyta; Magnoliopsida; Poales; Poaceae
Description: partial small subunit ribosomal RNA
Source: RNAcentral